UACGUAGGGUCCGAGCGUUGUCCGGAUUUACUGGGCAUAAAGGGUGCGUAGGUGGCUUGCUAAGUCAGUGGUGAAAUCGUCCGGCCCAACCGGACACGUGCCAAUGAUACUGGUGAGCUCGAGUGCGUGAGGGGUAGGGGGAACGAGCAGUGUAGCGGUGAAAUGCGUAGAUAUUGCUCGGAAGGCCAAAGCCGAAGGGACCCUACUGGUGCGCAACUGACACUGAGGCACGAAAGCGUGGGGAGCAAACAGG
This 253-nucleotide ribosomal RNA is filed under the name uncultured bacterium. RNAcentral describes it as "partial 16S ribosomal RNA". It matches the Rfam family "Bacterial small subunit ribosomal RNA", at positions 524 to 776 of the family's 1533-position model. The record is from RNAcentral.